RNAcentral lists this ribosomal RNA (421 nucleotides) under uncultured bacterium. Its description in RNAcentral is "bacterial SSU rRNA". It matches the Rfam family "Bacterial small subunit ribosomal RNA", at positions 355 to 774 of the family's 1533-position model. The record is from RNAcentral.
UAAGGAAUAUUGGUCAAUGGACGCAAGUCUGAACCAGCCAUGCCGCGUGAAGGAUGAAGGUCCUCUGGAUUGUAAACUUCUUUUAUCUGGGACGAAAACGGGAUUUCUAUCUCAAUUGACGGUACCAGAGGAAUAAGCACCGGCUAACUCCGUGCCAGCAGCCGCGGUAAUACGGAGGGUGCGAGCGUUAUCCGGAUUUACUGGGUUUAAAGGGUGCGUAGGUGGGCUUAUAAGUCAGUGGUGAAAUCUCCGAGCUUAACUUGGAAACUGCCGUUGAUACUAUAGGUCUUGAAUUAUCUGGAGGUAAGCGGAAUAUGUCAUGUAGCGGUGAAAUGCUUAGAUAUGACAUAGAACACCAAUUGCGAAGGCAGCUUACUACAUAUAAAUUGACGCUGAGGCACGAAAGCGUGGGGAUCAAACA